Molecule: long non-coding RNA, 2924 nt
Filed under: Bemisia tabaci
Lineage: Eukaryota; Metazoa; Arthropoda; Insecta; Hemiptera; Aleyrodidae
Description: lncRNA ENSSWEETPG006155
Source: RNAcentral
AUUCAGAAUGCUCCUGUUUGUCUUAAGAAUACUUCAAUUUCGUAAAGAAUGUCUUACAUGACAUCCCGUAGUGACGAUCAAGCUCCUGACCAUUAUGGAGGUGGCACAGCCGGAGGGAUCGUCACCCCUGAUAUGCAUGUUUUAAAUCAGCCUGAAACCUUCGGAAUGCAGAAUCCUAUCGAUAUGAACGCUCCUCAGCCUCUCAGGAAUGAUAAUGAUAUUUCUAGUUCAGAUCCAUUAAUUCUGAAUCAGGAGACUCAUUUCCUUCCUGAAUAUGGAACUGAUUUCGACUCUCUACCCGUCUAUCAUGAUGAUGUUCUACCACCUGGUGUUGGAGAUCUUCCUGAAUACCCAAAUGCACCGAUUAGUGAGAACAAUGGGUUUUACUGCAAUGUAAAUCAUCCUAUCAAAGCUGAGAAUAAAUUAGACGAUGACAUCAAUGCAUUCUUGAAUAAAACUUCCGAAAAACAUGAAAACAAGCUAAAGCGAGACAUAGACAACUUUGUGAAGAUGAAUUCAAAGGCAGCUGACCGACGCAUGAGUGAAGAUAUCAAAGCAUUUCUGAGGAGAUGUAGAAGUCCUUCGCCCAUUGAAAGUGCGAAAAGUUUGUUUCCAAAAAAUAAAAGUUACUCCAAACCAAGUCGGAGUUCAAGUCGAGCACCCUCGAAAGCCAGAGCUUCAUCGCCAUUUGACAGUAAACCAGCAGCACGCCAAUCUCGAUCAAUGGUCAGUAGAACUCGGUCUGUAGUUAGUAGUCGGCCCUCUACAGAGUCAAGGUUUGAAAAGAAAGGCCCUCGUGCGGUAAGGUCUAAAAGUCCACCUGAUAAGAAACCGCCUGCAUUGUUGUCAAGAUCUAAAAGUCCAGAAGAUAAGAAGCCUUUGCCUUUGGCGUACCUUACUCCUGAAGAAAGGAAGAAACUUCGUGGUUAUUCUAGUAGUCCAGAGGGAAGAAAACCGUCACCCACUGAUUACUCAAAGGUUGGAUCAAAGAGCCCUUGUGAUAGAAAAAGAUCAUCAUUCUCUCCAUCGAAAAGUCCAGUUGAUACUACUACAAAACACAGGGAACCUUUCAAUCCCAAUAUACCCAGACAAGAUAGACUGAAACCGAAGAUUUUGCUGAGAGACCGUGAAGCAGCAGAAAAGCGCAAAGACUAUGAGAAGAAACUAGAGACCUUGGCAAAGUUGAAACCUGAAGAAAUCAUUGAAUUAGAAAAGAAAAUAUGGACCAAAUCAGAACUCUUACCCCUUUACUAUUCGCGACAAAAAUCGAACAAAGCUGUCUGUGAAGCCACCCCAAAGCUUCUUGCCUUAUGUGAUAAAUUUGAAGAAAAACUGAUCAAAGCGCCAUAAAGAAUAAGAGCAUCGAAACCUCCGUACACCCCACCUUAUGCAAGAAAAAAGUUAAGGAGACCCUGUUGUCAUCAUGGUAAACGUAAGUAAUGACCAUAUUUUCUAUUUCAAGUUUUCAUUUUAAUCCUCCUUCCUCUCUAUUUCAGCUCACAUUUUAAAAAGAUUUCCCUCACUUUUUUAUCUUUUUUACUGUCGUAAUCGUCCAACAAAGUCAGCUGCCCAAGCCUAAUUUUUGGCUUGCUUAAGUCUUUAAUUUUUUCUGUUUGAAGAAGAAAACCAAAUGAUAGAUCAAAAGUCAGUCAAGGUAAAGAUGAUCUUAUUUUAAACCAUGUCAAGUUGUCAGUUAUCUCUAAUAACAUUGAUCUGAGACUUGUAAAAGAUUUUUCAAGACUUGAAUGCAGGUGUUAGGUUGAAUGUCAUAAGGUUAAAGGAAAUCUUCAAGGGUUCUCCUGAAAAAAGUUAACAUGAUUAAAUGGUAGAAUGUUGCUGCCACAUGAAUUCCAAUUUACAGAAAGAUAUACCAGUGGCUAAAUUGAGAUAGAGGUGGAAAACACCCAGAUUUAUAGGGAGACAUAACUCCAACCUGAGAGAACCUUAGGGUUUUUGGGCCUUCUUACAACAAUUUUUUUUUUUUUUUUAAAUUGUUUCUUUCACUAUACACAAUGUUCGUAUUCUAUGGGUGAAGUAGGAUAAAACUUAGGGAAAAUUAUGGCAGAAAAUGCAUUCUGCUGUGACUAUCUACUAACUGACUCUCUUGAAUUUCCUAAACAAGUAUGUAGUUACUCCGGAGGCAAUAAAUCUGAACUACUACUAAUAUUACGAUUACUACAGUUUCCAGGGUGUCUAGCAUCAGGAUUUUCCCGAUUUUAACAGGAUUUGAGGUUAAUCCGGAUUGAAUCCCGAUUUCAUCAGGAUUUGAGGAAAAAUCGGUCGUAAAAUCAGGAUUUGAAAAAAGUCGGCUGUCCGAUCGGAUUUUUUUAUGCUUUCGCAUACGCUAAUGCAGAAAUUUUAAUUUUUCUCCGCUAAAAUCAGGAUUUGAUAAAAUUUUGAAAUCAGGAUUUAGCAGUCAAAAAUCAGGAAAAAUCAGGAAUUCCCAAAAUGAAAAAAAACUAGACACCCUGAUUUCUCUUUCAAGGAAUAUAAUUCAUAUUCCAAGUCACGAGAAAUUUUAAAGAGAAAACAUGUCAAUUAGAACUUGAAUUCAUACCUUGUCUAGAGGUUCAUUUGGUGCCUCACAAUGUAACUCAAUCACAAUAAUCAAGCUUUCAGACUAAAGCAUUCUUGACAAGGCUUACAGUAAUUCAUUGAGCUUUUUUCACAGACAACCCUAGUAGUUCGAGUGAUACAAGUGAUGAGGACGAAGAAGAAGAGGAGACGGCAGAGAAUAUCAUGAAGAAGAAGCAUGAGCAUCCUCAAGUCUCCACAAAGAACUCUGGUUUAAUGAUCCUGGCCAGGUACAUAAGCCUCAUUUUACAAACUCAAUCAAAUCUAAUCUUCCUUUAUCUUGUUCUUCCAUACUUGCAUUCUCGGAAUAUUCUUUUGUUUAUGGAAGUAAUAAUGAUUGAACCGCGCUG